Molecule: ribosomal RNA, 423 nt
Filed under: uncultured bacterium
Lineage: Bacteria
Description: bacterial SSU rRNA
Rfam family: Bacterial small subunit ribosomal RNA
Source: RNAcentral
GCUAAACGCGAAGAACCUUACCAGGGCUCGACAUCCUGCUAAUUUCUCCGAAAGGAGAAAGUGCCUUCGGGCCGCAGUGACAGGUGUUGCAUGGCCGUCGUCAGCUCGUGUCGUGAGAUGUUAGGUUAAGUCCUUCAACGAGCGCAACCCUUAUGUUUAGUUGGAUUUUUCUAAACAGACUGCCUCGGUAACGGGGAGGAAGGAGGGGAUGAUGUCAGGUCAUUAUUGCCCUUACGUCCUGGGCUAGAAACGCGCUACAAUGGCCGGUACAAAGGGCAGCCAACCCGCGAGGGGGAGCAAAUCCCAUCAAAACCGGUCCCAGUUCGGAUUGCAGGCUGAAACUCGCCUGCAUGAAGCCGGAAUCACUAGUAAUCGUAGGUCAGCACACUACGGUGAAUACGUUCCCGGGUCUUGUACACACCG